AGAUUGAACGCUGGCGGAAUGCCUUACACAUGCAAGUCGAACGGCAGCACGGGAGCAAUCCUGGUGGCGAGUGGCGAACGGGUGAGUAAUACAUCGGAACGUGCCCAAUCGUGGGGGAUAACGUAGCGAAAGCUACGCUAAUACCGCAUACGAUCUACGGAUGAAAGCGGGGGACUCGCAAGGGCCUCGCGCGAAUGGAGCGGCCGAUGGCAGAUUAGGUAGUUGGUGGGUAAAGGCUCACCAAGCCUUCGAUCUGUAGCUGGUCUGAGAGGACGACCAGCCACACUGGACUGAGACACGCCCAGACUCCUACGGGAGCAGCAGUGGGAAUUUUGGACAAGUGGGCGCAAGCCUGAUCCAGCCAUCCGCGUGCAGGAUGAAGGCCUUCGGUUGUAAACUGUCUUUAGGUACGGAACGAAAAGACCGAUUUACCUAAGUAACGGUGUC
This 447-nucleotide ribosomal RNA is filed under the name uncultured soil bacterium. RNAcentral describes it as "bacterial SSU rRNA". It matches the Rfam family "Bacterial small subunit ribosomal RNA", at positions 26 to 479 of the family's 1533-position model. The record is from RNAcentral.